UGGACCAAUAAUGAAAAUUUGUCAUGAACUGAGGAUUAUGAAUAAUCCAAUUCUGUGCACUUGAGCACACUU
This 72-nucleotide small nucleolar RNA is filed under the name Tursiops truncatus (common bottlenose dolphin). Its description in RNAcentral is "Small nucleolar RNA SNORD112 (ENSTTRG00000025075.1)". Lineage: Eukaryota; Metazoa; Chordata; Mammalia; Artiodactyla; Delphinidae. The record is from RNAcentral.